AGGAAAGUGAAUCAGACAAACCAAAAGUGUUUGAAAAUGCAGCAAUUAGUGUACUGCAAUAUAUAGAUAUAGGGGCCAUAGGGGCAGUAAUUGGUGCAGGGAAUAGAGGCGGUACUGAGUGCAGGUGUUAAUAAGGACUUUAGUGGCGACAGAAGGUACAGGGUCAAAAAUGGGCUAUAAUGUGUACAGGAGAGGGAUAGGGGCUGUAGUAG
Molecule: non-coding RNA, 212 nt
Organism: Pelobates cultripes (western spadefoot toad)
Lineage: Eukaryota; Metazoa; Chordata; Amphibia; Anura; Pelobatidae
Source: the annotation of a GenBank genome assembly